Non-coding RNA from Mesocricetus auratus (golden hamster), 79 nucleotides. NCBI's taxonomy places the organism in Eukaryota, Metazoa, Chordata, Mammalia, Rodentia, Cricetidae. The record is from Rfam.
GGGUCUAUGAUGACAUACUAAUGUCCUGAAAAGUGCUGAUAACAUAUAAAUCAGCCUAAAUAGGAUAACACUGAAGCUC